Molecule: non-coding RNA, 1087 nt
Filed under: Caenorhabditis japonica
Lineage: Eukaryota; Metazoa; Nematoda; Chromadorea; Rhabditida; Rhabditidae
Description: Eukaryotic large subunit ribosomal RNA
Rfam family: Eukaryotic large subunit ribosomal RNA
Source: Rfam by way of RNAcentral
UUCAGCCAGAGAUGGGGACGUUGUUUCCGAAAAGCACCGCGGUUUCUGUGGUGUCUCGUGCUCUCUGAACGGCCCUUUAAACACCAAGGGAGGCUAUUAAUUUGCACUCAAUCGUACCGAUAUCCGCAUUAGGUCUCCAAGGUGAACAGCCUCUAGUCGAUAGAAUAAUGUAGGUAAGGGAAGUCGGCAAACUAGAUCCGUAACUUCGGGAAAAGGAUUGGCUCCAGUGGUCGGAACGGUUGGCCAGUUGGUUGAUGCUUGUCCGGCGCUGUUCUGUCUGCUUGAUGCUUUCGGGCUGAUGGCGGCCUAGUGAUAGUGCUUGCUUGUUGACGCUUUCUGGUGUGUGCUUUGACCUCGGUCUUAGUAUCCUGAUCGUUCAUCUAAACGACUAAACUGGAACCGGUACGGACUCAGGGAAUCCGACUGUCUAAUUAAAACAGAGGUGACAGAUGGUCCUUGCGGACGCUGACUGUCACUGAUUUCUGCCCAGUGCUCUGAAUGUUAAAUCGUAGUAAUUCGAGUAAGCGCGGGUAAACGGCGGGAGUAACUAUGACUCUCUUAAGGUAGCCAAAUGCCUCGUCUUUUAAUUGUUGACGCGCAUGAAUGGAUUAACGAGAUUCCUACUGUCCCUAACUACUAUCUAGCGAAACCACAGCCAAGGGAACGGGCUUGGCAAAAAUAGCGGGGAAAGAAGACCCUGUUGAGCUUGACUCUAGUUUGACAUUGUGAAGAGUCAUGAGAGGUGUAGCAUAGGUGGGAGUCUUCGGACGCCAAUGAAAUACCACCACUUUCAUCGACUCUUUACUUAUUCGGUUAAAAGAGAAUUGGUCGCAAGGCCUCUUUUCGAAGUAUUAAGCGGAUCCAUUUUAUGGAACCGUGACUCUCCCCGAAGACAGUGUCAAGCGGGGAGUUUGACUGGGGCGGUACAUCUAUCAAAUCGUAACGUAGGUGUCCUAAGGCGAGCUCAGAGAGGACGGAAACCUCUCGUAGAGCAAAAGGGCAAAAGCUUGCUUGAUCUUGUACUUUCAGUACGAGUACAGACCGCGAAAGCGUGGCCUAUCGAUCCUUUUAAUUUUCCAGAUUGUUU